AUCACUUCUUGGCCUUUUGGCUAAGAUCAAGUGUAGAAAGGAGAAUGCCCUGAAUGAAGUGUGUCUUGAUUUCAUUAUAGCAGCUGGCACAAGCUAGCUGAUUAGAUGUGGUCACAAUGGAGAAACGUGGCUGCUAACUCACAGCCG
RNAcentral lists this small nuclear RNA (147 nucleotides) under Nomascus leucogenys (northern white-cheeked gibbon). RNAcentral's name for it is "U2 spliceosomal RNA". It matches the Rfam family "U2 spliceosomal RNA". Rfam says of the family: U2 is a small nuclear RNA (snRNA) component of the spliceosome (involved in pre-mRNA splicing). Lineage: Eukaryota; Metazoa; Chordata; Mammalia; Primates; Hylobatidae. The record is from Rfam by way of RNAcentral.